UGGGGAAUUUUGGACAAUGGGCGAAAGCCUGAUCCAGCAAUGCCGCGUGUGUGAAGAAGGCCUUCGGGUUGUAAAGCACUUUUGUCCGGAAAGAAAUCCUUGGCUCUAAUACAGUCGGGGGAUGACGGUACCGGAAGAAUAAGCACCGGCUAACUACGUGCCAGCAGCCGCGGUAAUACGUAGGGUGCAAGCGUUAAUCGGAAUUACUGGGCGUAAAGCGUGCGCAGGCGGUUUGCUAAGACCGAUGUGAAAUCCCCGGGCUCAACCUGGGAACUGCAUUGGUGACUGGCAGGCUAGAGUAUGGCAGAGGGGGGUAGAAUUCCACGUGUAGCAGUGAAAUGCGUAGAGAUGUGGAGGAAUACCGAUGGCGAAGGCAGCCCCCUGGGCCAAUACUGACGCUCAUGCACGAAAGCGUGGGGGAGCAAAACAGGAUUAGAUACCCUGGUAGUCCACGCCCUAAACGAUGUCAACUAGUUGUUGGGGAUUCAUUUCCUUAGUAACGUACUAACGCGUGAAGUUGACCGCCUGGGGAGUACGGUCGCAAGAUUAAAACUCAAAUGAAUUGACGGGGU
Molecule: ribosomal RNA, 572 nt
Filed under: uncultured bacterium
Lineage: Bacteria
Description: partial 16S ribosomal RNA
Rfam family: Bacterial small subunit ribosomal RNA
Source: RNAcentral